This 1588-nucleotide ribosomal RNA is filed under the name Lactiplantibacillus plantarum WHE 92. RNAcentral describes it as "Lactobacillus plantarum WHE 92 16S ribosomal RNA". It matches the Rfam family "Bacterial small subunit ribosomal RNA". Lineage: Bacteria; Bacillati; Bacillota; Bacilli; Lactobacillales; Lactobacillaceae. The record is from RNAcentral.
UUAAUUUGAGAGUUUGAUCCUGGCUCAGGACGAACGCUGGCGGCGUGCCUAAUACAUGCAAGUCGAACGAACUCUGGUAUUGAUUGGUGCUUGCAUCAUGAUUUACAUUUGAGUGAGUGGCGAACUGGUGAGUAACACGUGGGAAACCUGCCCAGAAGCGGGGGAUAACACCUGGAAACAGAUGCUAAUACCGCAUAACAACUUGGACCGCAUGGUCCGAGCUUGAAAGAUGGCUUCGGCUAUCACUUUUGGAUGGUCCCGCGGCGUAUUAGCUAGAUGGUGGGGUAACGGCUCACCAUGGCAAUGAUACGUAGCCGACCUGAGAGGGCAAUCGGCCACAUUGGGACUGAGACACGGCCCAAACUCCUACGGGAGGCAGCAGUAGGGAAUCUUCCACAAUGGACGAAAGUCUGAUGGAGCAACGCCGCGUGAGUGAAGAAGGGUUUCGGCUCGUAAAACUCUGUUGUUAAAGAAGAACAUAUCUGAGAGUAACUGUUCAGGUAUUGACGGUAUUUAACCAGAAAGCCACGGCUAACUACGUGCCAGCAGCCGCGGUAAUACGUAGGUGGCAAGCGUUGUCCGGAUUUAUUGGGCGUAAAGCGAGCGCAGGCGGUUUUUUUUAAGUCUGAUGUGAAAGCCUUCGGCUCAACCGAAGAAGUGCAUCGGAAACUGGGAAACUUGAGUGCAGAAGAGGACAGUGGAACUCCAUGUGUAGCGGUGAAAUGCGUAGAUAUAUGGAAGAACACCAGUGGCGAAGGCGGCUGUCUGGUCUGUAACUGACGCUGAGGCUCGAAAGUAUGGGUAGCAAACAGGAUUAGAUACCCUGGUAGUCCAUACCGUAAACGAUGAAUGCUAAGUGUUGGAGGGUUUCCGCCCUUCAGUGCUGCAGCUAACGCAUUAAGCAUUCCGCCUGGGGAGUACGGCCGCAAGGCUGAAACUCAAAGGAAUUGACGGGGGCCCGCACAAGCGGUGGAGCAUGUGGUUUAAUUCGAAGCUACGCGAAGAACCUUACCAGGUCUUGACAUACUAUGCAAAUCUAAGAGAUUAGACGUUCCCUUCGGGGACAUGGAUACAGGUGGUGCAUGGUUGUCGUCAGCUCGUGUCGUGAGAUGUUGGGUUAAGUCCCGCAACGAGCGCAACCCUUAUUAUCAGUUGCCAGCAUUAAGUUGGGCACUCUGGUGAGACUGCCGGUGACAAACCGGAGGAAGGUGGGGAUGACGUCAAAUCAUCAUGCCCCUUAUGACCUGGGCUACACACGUGCUACAAUGGAUGGUACAACGAGUUGCGAACUCGCGAGAGUAAGCUAAUCUCUUAAAGCCAUUCUCAGUUCGGAUUGUAGGCUGCAACUCGCCUACAUGAAGUCGGAAUCGCUAGUAAUCGCGGAUCAGCAUGCCGCGGUGAAUACGUUCCCGGGCCUUGUACACACCGCCCGUCACACCAUGAGAGUUUGUAACACCCAAAGUCGGUGGGGUAACCUUUUAGGAACCAGCCGCCUAAGGUGGGACAGAUGAUUAGGGUGAAGUCGUAACAAGGUAGCCGUAGGAGAACCUGCGGCUGGAUCACCUCCUUUCUAAGGAAUAUUACGGAA